GGGGAGUGUUACCAUGACGUCAGCAUGUCUCCCUGGGGGACCAGUCAAAUUUAGGGUAAUCUAACUGUGGUUUGAUACUGUCCAUUUGUAGGCUGGUUCUGGCCCAACCCAUCGGUUUCUGGAACCAGAACAGUCAGAAUGAGUUCACGUUCUAGAAAUCACCAGAGAGGGUGGCAAAUCCAUACUCAUCGUGGAGAAGAAAUGUCAGUUGGUCGGAGAGAUGUGAAUACCGUAGGUAGCCAGGCAAGGCGCAAGGUUCUUCACAAGGAGGAAGUCAGUAAAAUUCAGGCAGAAGGUGACCGUUUUGACCAAACCAGAAAAGUACUGGACUGGGUCACGGCCAAAGGAGAAGCUGCAUGCUACGAGUUACUGACGAUUCUAGACAUCACAAGGAAGAGGACCUUAGACAACGCUGACUUACAGCAAUGGAUAAGCUGCUUCCCCUUCAAGGAAGACCCAGAGAUGACAGACUACCUUGUUGGUUCAAAACCCUGUCACAGAUAUCAGUCACAGCUGAAAUGUAAAGCUCGAAAGAUCACACAGGAUACAUGGAAACAAAGCUGUAGUCUCCUACCAGAGAGGUGUAGAAAUGAGGUGACUUUCUCUUACACUCCUCUUGUGUUAGAUACAGACGUGCCUUCAUCUCUCUCUAAAAUCAAAAUGAAGAGCAAAAGAUGCAAGAAAGCUCGCCCUAAAAAGCUAAAGAGCUUCAUCCCCAUGGCCAAACAGGAAACGUCCCCGGCUGACCUGCUUAAAACACCCAAGAGAAGGAUCCUCUUAUUUGGAAAACCUGGAAUUGGAAAGACAGCAGUCGCCCAUCAAAUGUUGAAGCUCUGGGCAGAGGAAGAUCAUAGAGAACUAGAUUACAUGUUUUAUUUUGAUGUGAGAGACAUUUCCCCCAGCACAAAUCCCAUGAGACUUGAGGACCUUCUCUUUAACAUGUACAGUGAGCCAGAAGAAAGUAGAGAAGAAGUGUUACAGGAUAUUAAGAAGAACUCUGAAAACGUUGUCAUCAUUUUUGAUGGAAUCACAGACCUCUCCUUUCAUUCAGUAAUAAAGAAACUUGUAGGCAAGGACCUCCUCCCUGAUGCAAAGAUUGUGAUCACAUGCAGACCAGAGGUUCCAUCAGGAGACUUCCUGACAGACUGGCCCUCGUUCCGAGUGGAGGUGAAAGGGUUUAGUAAUGAGUCCAUCCGGGCUUACUUAACAAAGAUGCUAAGUGCUGAGCCUAACCCUACGCCAAACCAUGACUCCUUGAGCAGUGUGUUAAGCAACCUAGAGUUGUUCAGUCUGUGCCAUGUCCCGAUGUAUGCAUUGAUGGUGGUUGCCUGCGUUUAUUAUUCUACCCCAGAGGCUUCUAAGCAGCCAUGCCCUACAACUAAGAUGUACGUCAACAUCCUCCGUUACUGCAUCCUAAAACACAGUGGCAAACAGAUGAAUGAUCUUGACAAGUGUCUCAUAGAAAACAGAGAAAAAAUCUUGUCUUUAGCAAAAAUUGCAAUGAAACAAUGAACUUGACAGAACUGAGCUGCGAAGUAAGCAGUGUCCAGUUUUCUUUCUUGGGGGCGCUUAUGAUUAUGGUCGAGCCCACAGUAUCGGACACUUACUCUGCAUUUCUCCAUUACACAAUGCAGGAGUUCGUUGGUGCCCUUUGGCUCUUACAGAAUCCAGACAAAAUCAGAGAGUUUCUACAGAAGUGCCAGACUGAAGAAUGGAAACACACAAAACACAUGGUUCCUUUCAUGUGUGGGCUUCUGAAUGAGAGGAAUAUUCGAUUGGUAAAUGGUCUUGUUCCAGCUCAACAGAUCAAGGAGACGUCAGAUUGGUUCUUCAAGGAAGUGGUGAACACAUUUCUUCCACUUCAAACAAACCAAGAUCAUGCAGAAGGUGGUGCUCCUGAGUUUGAGGUAGAUCUUCUGUUUUUAUGUCAGUGCUUGUAUGAAUCUCAGUCUACUGAGGCCUGUUUGCUUCUUCUGGACAAACUGGACUACAAUCUACACCUGGAUGAAGAACAUCUUGAUCCUCACCAGUGCUGUGCAGUCUCCUAUAUGAUCAGUCAGUCUGCAGAGAGAAAGGUUGACUUGGACCUGAACAGCUGCACUGUGUCAGACCAAGGACUAAGGCUGAUACUGGGCUCUCUGAAGAAUGUCCGAUAUCUCAGAUCUGACCCCUCAAUGCUGUGUCAACUCUGGACAACUUUGCUGAGCGGUGAGGCAGACAUUGACUUCACCAGCUUGCUUGGUCUCUGUGGAAAUGAGUUGCGCCUUCCAUUCCUGGGUGAAAGACGAGUGUUUGAGAGAGCAGAAGAAGUGAUGAAGCAGAGCCUGGAGAGGGUUAACCUCUGUCUACACUGGGAUCGGACAACUCUUCUCAGUGAAGCUCUCAGCAAGACCAUUUUAAAGUGUUUAACACAUAUCAACAAACUCAGUUUUAACCCACUACAUAAUCAGAGAGGAUCCCCUGAAAAACUAGAGAAAGAACAGAAAGCAGUCCUACUAAAUUUGUGUCUACAAGCCGCACUUUAUCACAGAGAAACGUUCCAGGGAGCUGUGAACACACUGCUGUCACUCUUCUCUGUGUAUCAAACUGAGAGAUAUGACAUCCUGCUGGAUCUGUACUCACAUGUGAAGGACUAUGAGACUCAAACAGGCAGGAGUGUCCUUCCAUCAUUGAGGCCACUUUAUCAGUCAGCUCCUGCAGUCUGGUCCAUAGACCUCUCAGAGAGAAAAGCCUCCCUCCUCCUAGAAGUGCUGAAACUCGAACCAGAUAAAAAAUCUGUCGAGCUGAAAGGCUGGUCAGACAAAGAGAGUGAAGUGAGGAGUUUCCUUCAGUGUCUGCCCUACAUCUCACAGCUGAGUUUUACUUCACCACAGGAUCAGAGAAGAUCCCCUGAAGAGUGGAGAAAGAGAGAGAAGACAUUCCUACUGAAUCUGUGUCUUCAAGCAGCCCUCCAUGCGAGAGAACACAUACAAACAACUGUAGAGAAAGUGUUUUCAUUGUCUGAAGUUUAUCAUGAUCGGAAAUGGGAUUUCCUGCUGGAUCUGUACUCACAUGUGAAGGACUAUGAGACUGAAACAGGCAGGAGUGUCCUUCCAGCAUUACAGCCAGUUUACCAGUCAGCUCCUGCAGUCUGGUCCAUAGACCUCUCAGAGAGAAAGGCCUCCCUCCUCCUAGAAGUGCUGAAACUCCAACCAGAGAAGAAACCAGUAGAGCUGGAAGGCUUGUCAGAUGAAGAGAGUGAAGUGAGGAGUUUCCUUCAGUGUCUGCCCUACAUCUCACAGCUGAGUUUCUAUCCAUGGUGGUCUGACAACUCAAAGCUGAUCAAGUUCCUGGUGGGUCUCCUGUCUCAAGCAGCAGAGUGGGAGGAGCAGUCAGGAGAGAAGACACUGAAGCUGCUAUCAUCAGUGUUUACUUACAGCACUUUCCCUCUCUAUGACUGGGAUGAUUAUCAUAAGUGGUUUCAAUGUGAUUUCCUGCUGGAUCUGUGCUCACAUGUGAAGGACUAUGAGACUCAAACAGGCAGAAGUGUCCUUCCAGUAUUACAGCCAGUUUACCAGUCAGCUCCUGCGGUCUGGUACAUAGACCUCUCAGAGAGAAAGGCCUCCCUCCUCCUAGACGUGCUGAAACUCCAACCAGAGAAGAAACCAGUAGAGCUGAUGAAGUGGUCAGAUGAAGAGAGUGAAGUGAGGAGUUUCCUUCAGUGUCUGCCCUACAUCUCACAGCUGAGUUUUACUUCACCACAGGAUCAGAGUAGAUCCCAUGAAGAGUGGAGAAAGAGAGAGAAGACAUUCCUACUGAAUCUGUGUCUUCAAGCAGCCCUCCAUGCGAGAGAACACAUACAAACAACUGUAGAGAAAGUGUUUUCAUUGUCUGAAGUUUAUCAUGAUCGGAAAUGGGAUCUCCUGCUGGAUCUGUACUCACAUGUGAAGGACUAUGAGACUCAAACAGGCAGGAAUGUCCUUCCAGCAUUACAGCCAGUUUACCAGUCAGCUCCUGCAGUCUGGUCCAUAGACCUCUCAGAGAGAAAGGCCUCCCUCCUCCUAGAAGUGCUGAAACUCCAACCAGAGAAGAAACCAGUAGAGCUGGAAGGCUUGUCAGAUGAAGAGAGUGAAGUGAGGAGUUUCCUUCAGUGUCUGCCCUACAUCUCACAGCUGAGUUUUACUUCACCACAGGAUCAGAGUAGAUCCCAUGAAGAGUGGAGAAAGAGAGAGAAGACAUUCCUACUGAAUCUGUGUCUUCAAGCAGCCCUCCAUGAGAGAGGAACCAUACAAACAACUGUAGAGAAAGUGUUGUCACUGUCUGAAGUUUAUCACGAUCGGAAAUGGGAUCUCCUGCUGGAUCUGUACUCACAUGUGAAGGACUAUGAGACUGAAACAGGCAGGAGUGUCCUUCCAGCAUUACAGCCAGUUUACCAGUCAGCUCCUGCAGUCUGGUCCAUAGACCUCUCAGAGAGAAAGGCCUCCCUCCUCCUGGAAGUGCUGAAACUCCAACCAGAGAAGAAACCAGUAGAGCUGGAAGGCUUGUCAGAUGAAGAGAGUGAAGUGAGGAGUUUCCUUCAGUGUCUGCCUUACAUCUCACAGCUGAGGCUGAAUGUGGGCAUGGCAGUGAGACUGGCCAGACUGGCUAGGAGGACAGGGAGAGGGGGUACUCCACUGACUGUCCCAGAACUCUCCCUGGUCCUAAAGAGCAGCCAGCCACCAGAGAGAGUGUUAUCCAGAGCUCUGAGUAGUGUGGCGUCCCUGCUGAGAUUCUGGAGGGUUCAGUGUCUGGACCUGACUGACUUCUGCAUCCAGGGUCACUCUCUCAUCACACUGCUGUGUCACCAGGACCCUCACACUCUCAGACUGAACUCAGACACUCUGCAGCAGCUGGCUGUGGCUGUGUAUGAAGCUCAGGACAAGGACUUGACUCAGUGGUUCCUGGAGAAGGUUGGUGGAGACCUGACCUCCUGCAGGCUGGACUGGGACGUGCUUCUCUCUCUGCUGCAGCAUUCAACCCACAACAUCACAGUGGACCUCAGGAAGAACAGGCUUCUAGAGAAGAACAUCUCAGAUCUUCUCCCCUUUCUGGGAAGGGUUAUAUUCAAGAGGCUCAGUUCCAGCUUUGUGAAGUCCACCAUCAGACAGAUCUAUGACAGUAGAGACAGUGACUGUGUGUCCAGUUUGUUGAGGUCUUCAGACCAUUGGAUCAACCUGAACAGCAGAGAGCUGGACAGAGUGGACUGUACUGCUCUGUGUUUCACCCUGCAGCACAGCCACCAAGUCAAAGUCAACCUGCUGUGGACCUCCAUACCACCGGGGGAGAUAGAGAGCAUCCUGCCUCUUCUGGACAGAGUCUCCCAACUCAGUGUUGACAGGAAGCUGUUGCUGAGUUUCCUCCACUCCUGCGCUGCCUCUCAGAUCCUACAGGGGGCACUAUCACCACCACCAACAAUAACAACAACAGCAGCAGAGCUGCUCAGGGCUCUGCAGCACAGGUUGGACUUCUCCUGCUCCUCCUCUGUGGACCUGUCAGCUCACGACCAGGGGGAGGCGCUGUGUCUGACCACUGACCACUGUAGGGCCAUAAACUCUGUUCUGAAGCAGAGCCAACACAGCACACGGCUGGUUCAGAACCCGACCCGGAACCAGUCCCGAAACCAGCCCCAGGUGCAACUCAUCCUUAAAGACUGUGAGGUGGAGCAUGGAGCACUGAGAGAGCUGCUUCCCAUCUUGCAUAUUGUCAAGCUGAGCCCCAGCAAAGCUCUGCUACUUCAGCUGCUGGACCAUGUGUGUGAGGGGAUUGAAGAGGGGGUUCUGAAGCACGCAGAGUCCCUGUGCAGAGCCCUGGAUGGGGAGCUGGACCUCAGUAAGACCAGGCUGAACCAGAAGGCCUGUGGAUCUCUGGCCCUGGUUCUGGAACACUCAGAGGGGCUGUCAGAACUGUACCUCAACCACUGCCAACUCACAGACCACCACCUACAGCCCCUGCUCACACACCUGCACAAAGUUGAAGUCCUGGACCUGAGUCACAAUGACAUCACUGAUGCUCUGACCGACAGAAUACUCCAAUUGGUCUCUACCAACACUUCAAUACGCACCGUACGGCUCUUCAACAACAGAAUCAACGACAGAAGUCCGUUCCUGACAGACAAGAGGUUUGAGAUCUGGUGAAGCAGCAUCAGGUCCAAGUCCAGACAGAGGAAGAGAAGAUGGAUGUUGAAGAAGAGAAGAUGGAUGUUGAAGAAGAGAAGAUGGAUGUUGAAGAUGGGUGUAGUAGCUACGAAGCCUCGGCAGGGUGAGACUAGAGGGACUUUUCUGACCAGCAUCCCAUCAACCUUGACCCUAACUGUAACCUGAUUUUAACCAAUUCUUAAAUAUUGAUUUGCAUGUCAGCCACAUCCCCUUAGUUUUUAGCUGACCUCAUCAUGGUGUCAGACGAACGGCAAGUGAUUAUGGGGCUAAGGUAUUGUAAAAAUAGUUGAGACUCCAGAACUCUGGAAUGUUCUGAGUGUAAUGGAUAGGAAUGUGUAGUUCUAUUUACCUCUUACAUGGUUCUUAAACACACAGGAACAUGUGUAGUAUAACGUUUUUUGAGCUUUACUUAACUUGAUGAUUUUUGUGAUCAGUCAAUUUGUGAAAUUCCAUCAGAAGGAAUAGAUUGUAUAUGCAUUUCUAUAGUCUAGUAUUUAUCAGGUGGAUGGGAAUGUGUUCUACAGUUGCAAUGGGAGCCUUAAUACAUGAGUGUUUUGUUGCAGGUCAACUGCAUGGUAUUGUGUUACUCAGGCUAGCCUUGUUGUGGACCAAGCUUCCCUAUUCAGGAAGCCAGAGGUGUGUUGAGUUCGCUUGAACGUUUGCUACGUUGUGCAACGGUUUGUACUGAAUGACACGUUUCCCCAAAAUGUUUUUGAACAGACUUCGAGGUACAUUUGGUGGGUGUGGCGAGGUGUGGCUUGAAGCAAUGAGUGACAUAUUUUUAUUUUUAAAGGGCAGUGGCCAUGCUGACAGCAUUCUCCAACCCACAACCCAACCCUUCCCCAUUUUUCAACUGGUUGUUCAGUACAUCACCGUUUCCGUACAAUUGAACCGUUUCAGAAUGUAAAAACAUACUGAUCGCAGCCCUGGUGAAGUCCAUGGUAGAAAGUAACUACAAGUGUGGUGGAAACCAUUGAAGCCUCGCAACACGUCAAACCAAUCAAUUGCCUUGCUUUGGCCGAGCACUAAAGGUGCCCACUAGUGCCGUAGGAGCAACAGUGUGAGUGGAUGCCCAGGAAGUUGCUGAUGUAUAACAUAGCCUUUAUGUACACAUACCAUAACAAAAUGUAUUUAGUAGAGCAGUUGUAAUACCUUCAUCGACUUGUGAAGAACAUUACACGCAGCUUCCCUUUUAGGGGCAUGUGGGGGAGGUUUCUUGAAAUAUAACAUCCAAUCAAAAUGUAGCCGCUGGAACCUAGCAGACCAUUCUAACUGUUUUGGCUAAUACAAAAUUCUCCAGACCUCCAAAGGAGGCAUGACAACAAUGUGAUUUUGGAGGUAUGGCUACAUGAGACUAGUACAAGCCUUUCUCAUAUCAAAACAGACAAACUAUAAGAAAUAAUAUAUGAAUAUUUUGUGUUUUUAAUAAAUGUACCUUGAGGC
RNAcentral lists this long non-coding RNA (7616 nucleotides) under Salmo salar (Atlantic salmon). Its description in RNAcentral is "lncRNA (ENSSSAG00000094173.1)". Lineage: Eukaryota; Metazoa; Chordata; Actinopteri; Salmoniformes; Salmonidae. The record is from RNAcentral.